GGGGAGGCAGGCAACACCAGCCCUCAGGCUACACUCUCCAUUUGGAGCAGAGCUUCUUCGGCAGCCCCAGGUCUCCCGGGAUCUUCCUCGGUGUCCUGCGGAGGCUCUGGCUCCAGCGUGGGCUCCAGCGCAGGCUGGGCUUCCGGCUGGGCUUCAGCGCUCCGGCCAGGCCCAAGGCGAGGCGGCUUGACCGGGGUGGGCGGUGGCGCUGCAGGGCCUUUCCGGCCCGAAAGGGCCCUUCGGAGGCUCUGUACCUUCUGCAAUCCGGUGCGCCGCAGCCGCUGGGCCCUGGACUCCACCGGCUCCUCGUCCGAGCUCUCUCCAACUUCGGCCUCCAGCUGCUCUGGGCCCAGCUCGGACUGGUCCGCCGGGCCCAAGGGCUCUGGUGCCUUCUGGAAAGCGCUGGCUGGGACUUCACCCUCCUCCUGCAUGUGACGGACACAGCACUGAUCCUGGCAGCUCCUUACCCCCAGCAGCCCGAAACUCACUCCUUAAUUACACAAGGGAAACCUUUUACCUCCGCAGCCAGAGUCUGGGGGGAAAGGCAGGCGUGGGAAGAUGGGUUCUCUACCUGGCCAGUGCCAUGUUGCCUGUUUCUUUACUGUAACUGUGGUGACAAAGAAAAGGGAAGAUGGAGCCUCCAUGUUGAACAUACCUGGCCCCCAGCACUAACUCCCUCUCUGGAUAUCUGGAACAAGGAGGACCUUAAACUUAACAAUAAAGCCAAUGAUGGUUCUACCAGUCUCCCCAAAGCCUCAAGUUUAAAAGCCAUAUGAACUGGCUGAUAGUGGAAAAUGGAAGCCAUGAGGAAAUCAGAUUAGAGUACUACCUGGUGAAGCCUGGAGGACCUACCAAGAAAAGCAAACUUGGAUCUUUGCAAGGUUAGAAGAACGAAUGGGAUCCAAGAAAAAGACUGGUCAUAUUCAACGGCUAAGAGCGUUGGAGAAGGCCUGUGGAGUCUCAGCAGGUCAGGUCCAUGACUCAUGAGUAGACACCUGUGUUUCUACUGCCUGGUGCCAUAAUCAUAAACAAGGUGAGCAGGGGCAAAUAAGAUCCUAGUUCAGUACUAUUCACUAUAAAUAUAAUGUAUGUAAUUUAAAAUUUUCUAGUAGCCAUAUUUUAAAAUUUUUUUAAUGAAAUUAACUUUUAAAAGAUAUUUAGUUUAACUCAAUAUAUCCAAAAUAUUGCCAUUUUAACAUGUAAUCAUAUUUGUUAGGUAUUAAUUAGAUAUUUUACAUUCUUUUAGGUCUCUGAAAUCUGGUAUAUAUUUUAUA
This 1274-nucleotide long non-coding RNA is filed under the name Homo sapiens (human). RNAcentral describes it as "HSALNT0361141". Lineage: Eukaryota; Metazoa; Chordata; Mammalia; Primates; Hominidae. The record is from RNAcentral.